GAACCCCAUUGGCCUAGCCCAACAGGCCUAGCCUGCAACACACGCACCGCAUCUACUCGGCUACUCCCCUGUUGCUCAAAAAAAAAAACUCGGUUACUCCCCUGGUUCCCCUGAAAAAAGGUUACUCCCCUGUUCUUCCCCGCCGCUCCUCACUCGAUCCCCUUUCCUCUAGCUCUCAUUGUCUUCUCUCUUUCUCUCUCAGAUCGAUGCCCAAAGUCCUCCGCACUUAAAUGCGGCCACAGGAAUCAGCAAUACUCAGCGCCGGCUCCUCGCCCUCCCAUCAUCGGCUAACCUGCGCCACCCUCCACUACAGCGUCCUACUUCUCAGGGUUCGCCUCUCUCACUACUGCGCCACACUCCAACUCGCUUUCCGGCCAUCCCGAGCCCGUGACACUGAUGCCGAGCACAACAUUCUAGAGGAGUGUACCUCUGGCUCCUUCCCAAGCACCUUAUGCGUGGAGAUCCGGUGGACCCGUGCGCCUGAUGAUGGACCAAGGGUCUCGAAGAUGGCAAAGCAUAUAGGGGGAACAGGAGAAAAGUAAUCCUUGUAGAUCAAUUUUGUGUGUGCGUGUGUUGCCAUGCGAAGAAGUACUGAAGAUAUGCAAUGAAAAUGGUAAUUCUUUGCAAAGUGUGGUUGUGGGGCUAGUCCGAAGCAUAUGAAUGAAAUGCUAGUAUUUUGUCAAACUUGUAAUAUUGAAGUUGUCUUGUGUGCAAUGAAAAUGAGACCAUUUUUUGA
Triticum dicoccoides is the source of this 736-nucleotide long non-coding RNA. RefSeq lists it as uncharacterized. The record is from RefSeq and is a predicted model, not a curated record. The transcript is spliced from 2 exons. NCBI's taxonomy places the organism in Eukaryota, Viridiplantae, Streptophyta, Magnoliopsida, Poales, Poaceae.